This 1424-nucleotide ribosomal RNA is filed under the name uncultured organism. Its description in RNAcentral is "16S ribosomal RNA". It matches the Rfam family "Bacterial small subunit ribosomal RNA". The record is from RNAcentral.
UGCAAGUCGAACGGAAAGGCCCUGCUUUUGUGGGGUGCUCGAGUGGCGAACGGGUGAGUAACACGUGAGUAACCUGCCCUUGACUUUGGGAUAACUUCAGGAAACUGGGGCUAAUACCGGAUAGGAGCUCCUGCUGCAUGGUGGGGGUUGGAAAGUUUCGGCGGUUGGGGAUGGACUCGCGGCUUAUCAGCUUGUUGGUGGGGUAGUGGCUUACCAAGGCUUUGACGGGUAGCCGGCCUGAGAGGGUGACCGGCCACAUUGGGACUGAGAUACGGCCCAGACUCCUACGGGAGGCAGCAGUGGGGAAUAUUGCACAAUGGGCGGAAGCCUGAUGCAGCAACGCCGCGUGCGGGAUGACGGCCUUCGGGUUGUAAACCGCUUUCGCCUGUGACGAAGCGUGAGUGACGGUAAUGGGUAAAGAAGCACCGGCUAACUACGUGCCAGCAGCCGCGGUGAUACGUAGGGUGCGAGCGUUGUCCGGAUUUAUUGGGCGUAAAGGGCUCGUAGGUGGUUGAUCGCGUCGGAAGUGUAAUCUUGGGGCUUAACCCUGAGCGUGCUUUCGAUACGGGUUGACUUGAGGAAGGUAGGGGAGAAUGGAAUUCCUGGUGGAGCGGUGGAAUGCGCAGAUAUCAGGAGGAACACCAGUGGCGAAGGCGGUUCUCUGGGCCUUUCCUGACGCUGAGGAGCGAAAGCGUGGGGAGCGAACAGGCUUAGAUACCCUGGUAGUCCACGCUGUAAACGGUGGGUACUAGGUGUGGGGUCCAUUCCACGGGUUCCGUGCCGUAGCUAACGCUUUAAGUACCCCGCCUGGGGAGUACGGCCGCAAGGCUAAAACUCAAAGGAAUUGACGGGGCCCCGCACAAGCGGCGGAGCAUGCGGAUUAAUUCGAUGCAACGCGUAGAACCUUACCUGGGUUUGACAUGGAUCGGGAGUGCUCAGAGAUGGGUGUGCCUCUUUUGGGGUCGGUUCACAGGUGGUGCAUGGCUGUCGUCAGCUCGUGUCGUGAGAUGUUGGGUUAAGUCCCGCAACGAGCGCAACCCUUGUUCACUGUUGCCAGCACGUUAUGGUGGGGACUCAGUGGAGACCGCCGGGGUCAACUCGGAGGAAGGUGGGGAUGACGUCAAGUCAUCAUGCCCCUUAUGUCCAGGGCUUCACGCAUGCUACAAUGGCUGGUACAGAGAGUGGCGAGCCUGUGAGGGUGAGCGAAUCUCGGAAAGCCGGUCUCAGUUCGGAUUGGGGUCUGCAACUCGACCUCAUGAAGUCGGAGUCGCUAGUAAUCGCAGAUCAGCAACGCUGCGGUGAAUACGUUCCCGGGGCUUGUACACACCGCCCGUCAAGUCAUGAAAGUUGGUAACACCCGAAGCCGGUGGCCUAACCGUUGUGGGGGAGCCGUCGAAGGUGGGACUGGUGAUUAGGACUAAGUC